CCCGCCCACCGUGCGAACCCGAGGAAGGGGAGCCAAAGAAAUGUAAGACGACAGAGUGACAAGCUGAAUGAGCCAGUCAGCAGGCGCUGAGUGGGGGCAGGAUUAGCACUCUCCCCCUCUUCCCCACGUAGGCGUAACCGGAGAUUUCUGGUCUGAGGUUGCCUAUCGUGCUUUAUGGAGAUUUUGUUGCACGAUUUCGGUGCAUCUGCUCGUUGCCGUGCGAGGCACUAGAUAGAAUGCACUUAAUUGACUUAAUUAUUGGAGGUUUUAAAGGAGAGAAUAAUGUGGAAAGGAUAAAGGAGGCGAAGCACAAGCCAGAGGGGUUGGCCGGGCCCAUGGUUGGAAUGAGGAAGGGUGUGAUCUUCGGUUAGGAUUUGCAUAAAACGGAACCCAUCCAGGCGAUUCCAACUUCGCCCAUUUAUUGGUAGUCCUUGGGGCGGUGCCUCGCCUCUUUCUCCGCCCCCGAGCGGAACAUCACGGGAGAUGUAGUUCCAAGACUGGUUGCCAUGGCGUUCUCGACAGCCUCGCGAGUCCGACCCCGCCCUUCAGGAGUGACGAGCGGCCUGACCAAUGGGAGCAGGGGGCGGGCUCUCUGCGGAAGGACUUGAAGGUGGCGGUGGUGAAGGUACAGGCCGUUGUGGCGGCUCAGAGGCAGGUGACUAUGAAAGGCUUAUAUUUCUUUUUUUUUUUUUUUUAUGAAGAAAUAACAUUUGUAUUUCAAGAAAGGGAAAAUCUUCCUGUUACAGAGGAUAACUUUGUAAAACUUCAAGUUAAAGCUUGUGCUCUCAGCCAGAUAAAUACAAAGCUUCUGGCAGAAAUGAAGAUGAAAAAGGAUUUAUUUCCUGUUGGAAGAGAAAUUGCUGGAAUUGUAUUAGAUGUUGGAAGCAAGGUAUCAUUCUUUCAACCAGAUGAUGAAGUAGUCGGAAUUUUGCCCCUGGACUCUGAAGACCCUGGACUUUGUGAAGUUGUUAGAGUACAUGAGCAUUACUUGGUUCAUAAACCAGAAAAGGUCACAUGGAUGGAAGCAGCAGGAAGCAUUCGGGAUGGAGUGCGCGCCUAUACAGCUCUGCAUUAUCUUUCUCAUGUCUCUCCUGGAAAAUCAGUGCUGAUAAUGGAUGGAGCAAGUGCAUUUGGUACAAUAGCUAUUCAGUUAGCACAUCAUAGAGGAGCCAAAGUGAUUUCAACAGCAUGCAGCCUUGAAGAUAAGCAGUGCCUUGAAAGAUUCAGACCUCCCAUAGCCCGAGUGAUUGAUGUAUCUAAUGGGAAAGUUCAUGUUGCUGAAAGCUGUUUGGAAGAAACAGGUGGCCUGGGAGUAGAUAUUGUCCUAGAUGCUGGAGUGAGAUUGUAUAGUAAAGAUGAUGAACCAGCUGUAAAACUACAACUACUACCACAUAAACAUGAUAUCAUCACACUUCUUGGUGUUGGAGGCCACUGGGUAACAACAGAAGAAAACCUUCAGCUGGAUCCUCCAGAUAGCCAUUGCCUUUUCCUCAAGGGAGCAACGUUAGCUUUCCUGAAUGAUGAAGUUUGGAAUUUGUCAAAUGUACAACAGGGAAAAUAUCUUUCUUAACAAUCCUUCCAGCUACGUAUCUUAAAGGAUGUGAUGGAGAAGUUAUCAACUGGUGUUUUCAGACCUCAGUUGGAUGAACCCAUUCCACUGUAUGAGGCAAAAGUUUCCAUGGAAGCUGUUCAGAAACAUCAAGGAAGAAAAAAGCAAGUUGUUCAAUUUUAAUUUUCUUCUUUCUCAGACUUCAAUCGGAUGAACGUAUUCCAGUAUUUGAAGCCAAAAUUUUAUUUGGAAAUUGUUGAGAAAAACCAAGGAAGAGAAAAGCAAGUUGCAUUUUUAAGCACGUUUCCCUGCUAAGACAAGAUGCUCAGUUGACACAUUUGAAAAGUGUUUGAAAAAUUCUUGUGCAAAUGAUCAAGAUAAUUCUAUAAUUAACAUCUUAAGGGAAUUUUCUAAAGGUCUUUUCAUUGUUUCUAUAUAUUUUGCCCCUGCUAUAAAAUUCCUUCCAUGAAGAAAACUGCUUUCAGCAAAAGCCACACUACUCUAUUGAUAAAGCUGUUGCAGGCCUUUGCUAAGCUAUCAAAGUAACGUAUUAAUUUUCUGUCAACUCCGUUCUCAACACCUUCCUUAAGUCUUUGCUGUCAUCAUUUAAGCAUUUGAGUAUAUUUUGAAGUCUUAAAGGACCUAGCCCAUAGGCACUUAAA
RNA transcript from Cercocebus atys (sooty mangabey), 2211 nucleotides. It is a transcript of the gene named crystallin, zeta (quinone reductase)-like 1, with no coding region annotated. Lineage: Eukaryota; Metazoa; Chordata; Mammalia; Primates; Cercopithecidae. The record is from RefSeq and is a predicted model, not a curated record. The transcript has 13 exons.